UACGUAGGGGGCAAGCGUUAUCCGGAUUUAUUGGGUUUAAAGGGUGCGUAGGCGGACUGGAAAGUCAGCGGUAAAAUCGAGAGGCUCAACCUCUUUCCGCCGUUGAAACUGUCGGUCUUGAGUGGGCGAGAAGUAUGCGGAAUGCGUGGUGUAGCGGUGAAAUGCUUAGAUAUUGCGCAGAACUCCGAUUGCGAAGGCAGCAUGCCGGCUCCACACUGACGCUGAGGCACGAAAGCGUGGGUAUCGAACAGG
Molecule: ribosomal RNA, 252 nt
Filed under: uncultured Bacteroidales bacterium
Lineage: Bacteria; Pseudomonadati; Bacteroidota; Bacteroidia; Bacteroidales
Description: partial 16S ribosomal RNA
Rfam family: Bacterial small subunit ribosomal RNA
Source: RNAcentral